CCACGUGGCGUGAGAGCGAGAAGGAAUUCUACACUGUCACAUUUGCACUACAUCAUCAAUAACAAAUCAAUCACAUUUCUUCUUUUCAAACAAAAGUACAAUAAAAAUAUUUUUUUACAAUCAUGAUGGGACAUAUUUUUAAAAGAAUUAAUUUGAUUGGCUUGUUACGCCAUGUCACUAUUAUACCCGUUGCAUUCUAGAAUUUUUCGAGAGC
RNAcentral lists this long non-coding RNA (214 nucleotides) under Ananas comosus (pineapple). Its description in RNAcentral is "long non-coding RNA (ACOM_LNC031735)". Lineage: Eukaryota; Viridiplantae; Streptophyta; Magnoliopsida; Poales; Bromeliaceae. The record is from RNAcentral.